UACAGAGGUCUCAAGCGUUGUCCGGAUUCAUUGGGCGUAAAGGGUGCGUAGGUGGCGCCGUAAGUCAGGUGUGAAAUCUCGGGGCUCAACCCCGAAACUGCACUUGAUACUGCGGUGCUCGAGUACUGGAGAGGAGAUUGGAAUUUACGGUGUAGCAGUGAAAUGCGUAGAUAUCGUAAGGAAGACCAGUGGCGAAGGCGAAUCUCUGGACAGUUACUGACACUGAGGCACGAAGGCCAGGGGAGCAAACGGG
RNAcentral lists this ribosomal RNA (253 nucleotides) under uncultured bacterium. Its description in RNAcentral is "partial 16S ribosomal RNA". It matches the Rfam family "Bacterial small subunit ribosomal RNA", at positions 524 to 776 of the family's 1533-position model. The record is from RNAcentral.